Non-coding RNA from Misgurnus anguillicaudatus (oriental weatherfish), 1227 nucleotides. NCBI's taxonomy places the organism in Eukaryota, Metazoa, Chordata, Actinopteri, Cypriniformes, Cobitidae. The record is from RefSeq and is a predicted model, not a curated record.
UGCUGAGUGUUGUUGUGUAUCGUAGCGCCGAGUUGGGCUCGCCGGAUACGCUGCUUGGAUCGCCGGAUUGCUCUCUCUUUCUCUCGUUGGACCAUAGAUUUAUGCAAAGGAGGAUAUCGACAACCUUAUAGGUGGAAUACUAGACGGACACUAACGUGGACGAGAGGAACGGAGGAAGAGGGAAACUUGCUGCUGUGAGUUUGCAUCUGUGAAGAAGUGGUAUGGUGGCUGGAAAAAGCCUCAUUCAUGCAUUUGGAGUUAUUACAGCGUAAAGUGAACCUAGGACGAAGGCAGACAGUAAUUGUGAGUAACUACGUCCCUUGAAGUAGGUGUUUUGGAUACAGUUGAUCUAGAUAAUCGUUGUUGAGUGUUUUCAAGAGAGAGUGAGUGGCCCUACCCCUGUCCCAGUGUGGUGGGUGAGCCGAAGGGUUUUGUGUGGAAGCAGCUACAGUGACGACAACAACCAAACACUAGGCCGUCUACCAUCUCCCUUUUCUCGCCCAGAGCGAAGUAGAAGAAGACGGGUGUCAUUGUGUGCACUGAGCGUGGUGGAGUGGAGGCGAGUGAGAUCCGCCAGCCCGAGGUCUCGACGAAAGGGCGCCCCGGUCCAGCUUUCGAUCGACCAACGGGUCUCGAGGAAAGGGCAGCGCUCGACCCGGUGUGCUGGCGUGACAUCCUCGCCCCUCUGCCAAUCAACGAGUCCGCCGAGUGGGUCUUGGCCCCCGGCGUCUCCUUGCGAACCACUGUCUAAUCAACGCACUGCAUAGCUAGCCAGCGUUAAGCCCGCCAUCCGCAGUUCUCUGUGGAGAGAAAGAGAGCCAGCGUGAACACUGAGAUAUUGAGUUGUGGAGAGAGCCAUACCUACCUGGAAGCUGCAACCAGCACAGAGGUGAGAGAAAACCUUAGAAUCAAUUCACCGUGUCCUUGCAUCCCAACAGUCAUCUGUGGAGAGAGAAAGAGAGCCAGCGUGAGCACUGAGAUAUUGAGCUGUGGAGAGAGCCAUACCUACCUAGAAGCUGUAACCAGCACAGAGGUGAGAGAAAACCUUGAAAUGAUUCACUGUGUCCCUGUGUUCCAGCAGUCGUCUGUGGAGAGGAAGAGAACUAGCAUGAACGCUGAGAUACCGAGCUGUGAAGAGAGCCUAGAGGGGCCGUUAUUUUAAGUUCCCCUUUUCCCCUGCCUUAUUUAUUAAUUUUAAAUAAAUUAAAUAAAGUACAUUUUAAUUUA